This 1876-nucleotide long non-coding RNA is filed under the name Panax ginseng (ginseng). RNAcentral's name for it is "long non-coding RNA (PGIN_LNC010221)". The record is from RNAcentral. Lineage: Eukaryota; Viridiplantae; Streptophyta; Magnoliopsida; Apiales; Araliaceae.
AAAGAAGAAGUUGGUAUCCUAAAUUGAUGAACACUUGACAGUUUGUAAUAUACAUAUAUUUGCCUGCUUCCUUUCUACAGUAGACAAUAUAUCAUUCUUCGGAUUUAGAAUUUGAUGUUCAUGGUUCUUGGUCAUGCCUUCAGCGAUGGAGAAGCUGUUCUUGAUGGGGCAACAAGAGACUUUGCAUAUGCAGCAGGUAAAGCAAGUAUUUUCUUGGGUUUACUCACAUAAGCCCUCUUUGUAAAGUUAUUGUAGUCAUUCGCUUCAAUCUCGUCUAAUAUCUGACGAUACAACAACAGAGAUGCCCAUACCUGCAACAAUCAAGAAUCAAUAUACAUAUAAAAAUUGCUAGGAGAUUCCGGUAAAGAAGAUUUCAACUUGAUAUGAUAUAUAAUUUCAUUUCAAUUCCUCCGCAUGAACUAACAUUGAAGGAAAUUUCAACAUGAUACAGAAGUAUUUUCACUCGUGUAGUUAUGAGUUUCAAAGUUCUUUAUUUUCUCGAUUUUCAUCAUAUCCAAUGAUAAUAAGUCUUCAGUAUCAAAUAAAUAGAGGUGGUGAACUGCUUACCGGCCAUCUGCUCGCAGGGCUGAGCUCUGUGACUCCUUUUUCUGCCUCGUCAAAGAACAUUCUUGCUCUCUUAAUUUGCUUCCUCAUGAAGUUCCUCCAUUUAUCCGUCACUUUUCCUACAAAUAUAUCCUCAUUGGAAAUACCUGCCUGCGCCAGUUCAUCUUGUGGUAAAUACACCCUUCCUCUUCUUGCACUGCAAAAAAAAAAGAAACAUAUCAGAUACAAUAAGCAAAAGAUUUUGAAGCAUCUAAUACUCAUUAUAUUGAAGCAUGUAUCAACAAGAUGUUAUAAUGGUGCUCAAUGUGAUUGUCAGGAGACCAGUAAAAGGAAAUAAAAUUCAAGAUCUGGCAAGGAUUUGAGACAAAAAUUGUUGAUGUGAAGAUAUGUAUAACCAUCAUCUUUUUAUCAUUCGUAAUACUGAAUUGUAUCACUAGGGUGUUAGCGCUAAUUGAUAGUUGAGUAAAUGAUCACUAGACUUCAAUUAUUCAACUCAUGGCCCCUCUUGUUAUUGAUUUGGAAGGUAUUAAACUAAAAGAGAAUGAAACUAAUACUUAAUAAGACUUGCAUGAUCAGUUUUGCUGCUAAGUACUUACUCUUCCCCAACAUCCCUGAGAAUGUUAGUCAGCUGAUUAGCAAUCCCCAAUGCCAAAGCAGCAUUGUAAACACUCUCUGUCGUAGCCUGUGAAUCAAGUGCAAUGCCCAUAAUUGGAACGCUCAUCAAUCCAACUGUACCAGCCACAUAAUAACAGUAAAGAUAAAGCUCAUCAAAGUUUUUGUAUCUUGACUUCUUAAGGUCCAUCCUCAUUCCAUCAAUCAUAUCUUUGAAUGGCUGAAAAGAAGACAUGGGAGAUUCUACAUUACUAAGCAGUUCAGAUUAUUAAGAUAUACAGCCUAUAUUUUAAAGACCUUAAUACUUGAACCUUAAAUCAACCAUAAACAGCUACAAUGAAAAUAAUCAGGAGAAGUGCAGAAAACACCGAAAAAAUACAUAAGAUGUGUAAUAAUCUACAUAAAAUUAGGAAGGAAUAAUGUUGGCUAUGAUGCCCCUAUGUUGAGAAAGAACAUGAUAAACAUUAUUCAGAAUUCAUUGAUUCUUGAAUUUGAUUUAUUAUUAACAUCAAACAUCUUUAGUGCGAGUAGAACUCCAUUAGAUUGGAUAUUAUAGUCGCUGUCAAGCAAUUGCAAUAUACUAACCAACCUGAAUGUCAACAGGAAACUUGGUAACCGUGUCUGAUAAAGCAGCAUCAAGCAUGUCGAAUGGACGCCCCUUGAAAAGAUCCUCCAGUCUUAACUCCCACCUAUCCAAAGC